Long non-coding RNA from Aedes aegypti (yellow fever mosquito), 731 nucleotides. RefSeq lists it as uncharacterized. Lineage: Eukaryota; Metazoa; Arthropoda; Insecta; Diptera; Culicidae. The transcript has 2 exons. The record is from RefSeq and is a predicted model, not a curated record.
GCUUGGGUUUGGUAUGCCUCACAUUCGUGAAAAUGUUUUUUAUUGUAUUGUAAAGGAACUUAACCUGCAAAGUAAAACAAAACACAUUUUGUUUUGUUUCACAGUGAACGAUGAGUGUUUUUUUAAAUAAAAAUUUAAAGGAAUAAGUAAAAAUGUUAGCAGAAAUUUAUUUGUUGUGUGAAAACAACGGAGUCAAUAUAUUUGUUUUUAGCGUGUUUGUUUUCGCACCGACUGUCAGUCACGAAAAAACGAAGAAAACGUAUUUUCAGUUGAUACUCAGUGCUAAGUUUUGAAUUUUAGUUUAAAAUGUUCGGAACAACCUGGUUCUACAGCAAUACUGGCUCGAAUGUACCUUUCUUCGACGCAAGCUUCUGUGGGCUGCUGUGAAUCCAACAAAUUCAAUGAGUCGGGAAAGAAGGGCCAAAAGCGGACCAGGUAAACUCACAUUGACGGCUGCCUCCAUCAGAAUAAGGCAAACUACGGUACAUAUUGAAUGGGAAAUCGAGACUAGCUGCAUGAACUUGAAUUUCCCGGGGUGUUCCGCGGUCUGUUUGGCGUUCGGUACUCACAGCUGCAGAAUUGGUGCCACCAAGAGCUCAAUGUUUCGGAUGUUACCUAAUCGAAUCUCCUACGCUAAAUAUUGAUGUAAAUUAAGUUCCGUUGAUAAAUGUGUCUAUAAUAAAUUAUGAUUGAAGUGAUUGUUUUCAGUACAUACUUAUUUAUUUAUGUUU